UUCAUUAAAAUACAUGUUUUCAUUUGAGACGUUACUACGUCUGCUCUGGUCACAGAGACUUUGCUCUGCUCUGCCGGUGUCUGUCUCCAACUUUAGCGGCAGCUGGUUUGACUACGGAGAAACGAGUGACGGACGGCGAGCUUGACCGCAGUCUGUUUCUGAGAUACAAUCACUGCACGCUGCUACAGUUUGCUGCUCUGCUGCAUCGCAGACUACUGAACA
Molecule: long non-coding RNA, 222 nt
Organism: Etheostoma cragini (Arkansas darter)
Lineage: Eukaryota; Metazoa; Chordata; Actinopteri; Perciformes; Percidae
Exons: 3
Source: RefSeq, a predicted model, not a curated record